GGGGACAUUCAGUCGGGAGGCAGCGGACGUGCGUUGCGGAGUGAGCGGUUUCCGCGUCGGCCGCGACGUGUGCUUUCGUGCCACCCGACGUAUUUGUUUCCCGUCCGACGGACGCCGCUACCGGUUGGAGAACGGCCUUAAGGGCGGACGAUGGCAGGUGGCCGGUGGACGUGUCUGCACACCCCUCUGUGUCUGUGUGUUCUUCGUCCGCCGGUUGUUAGCCGGUUUCCGUCGCACGGCCCGUGAUCCGACCGUGGUGUCGCGAGACCCCUUCGUGGGACUCUUCGCCUCCUCCUCUGCGGGAUGCCCGGAAUUGGCCGCACGGGUUCUCUCCCCACCUGCGGGCGCACGGACUGACUCCGUGGCCCAGCAGCGUGGGAGUCCCAGGUUGGUGGUCCAUUACCGGUUGGAGUGUUGUGCGGUAAGCGGCGAGUAGAUCGGUCACCCACCCGACCCGUCUUGAAACACGGACCAAGGAGUCUAACAUGUGUGCGAGUCAAUGGGUCUUGCGCAGGCCCAGAGGCACAAUGAAAGCGAAGGCCGGAACUGACUUCCGGCUGUGUUGAGAUCCUCCCCCCUGGUGUCGGGGGAGGCGCACCAACGGCCCGUCCCGUCCGAUUCAUCGGAGGGGCGGAGUCUGAGCGUACACGUUGGGACCCGAAAGGUGGUGAACUAUGCCCGGGCAGGACGAAGCCGGAGG
This 700-nucleotide ribosomal RNA is filed under the name Typhlonesticus gocmeni. RNAcentral describes it as "partial large subunit ribosomal RNA". The stretch from base 327 to 700 matches the Rfam family "Eukaryotic large subunit ribosomal RNA", at positions 1 to 858 of the family's 3401-position model. Lineage: Eukaryota; Metazoa; Arthropoda; Arachnida; Araneae; Nesticidae. The record is from RNAcentral.